This 724-nucleotide long non-coding RNA is filed under the name Panax ginseng (ginseng). Its description in RNAcentral is "long non-coding RNA (PGIN_LNC001285)". The record is from RNAcentral. Lineage: Eukaryota; Viridiplantae; Streptophyta; Magnoliopsida; Apiales; Araliaceae.
GAAAACCAGCCGCGGAAGAUCAACCAGAUAAUCGAACGUCGAACGCCAAAGACUUUAAGGCAAUCUUAUUGCUAGGGUAUAGAGGAUUAAGUGACUCAGUAGAAGCGUUUAUGAUAGUUAGGAUAACGGAAAGGGCAAAAGAUAACUUUUAUCACCUAUACGAUAAAAGGGAAAUGAGAUAAAGAGAAAGUUUGUGGGCAGAAGAGACAUAUCUCUUCCAAUUGUCCCAAUUCAAGAAUGUAUAGCGAAUGUUUUAUUUGUGAAUCAAUGGAGUAUAAGGUGAAAGAUUAUUCAAGAAGGAGAAGUGAGAUAAGGAAUGCGAAUACGAGAAAUGACAGCAAGAUAUAGGCGACAACGAAACCAAUUUCAACAAACAACCCAACUGCGAGGGUCUACAACAUGACGGUCCAGGAUACGGUGGCAGCUGGAAACAGAACUCCAGGUGCUAUUUGAAUAACUUAUGUGUCUUAUAUGAUUUUCCUGUAUAUAUACAUAUAGUAGAUUACUUUAUUAAAGAAAUUUUGAGGAAGGAAUUUGAGUUCUUUUAGAAAUCAAAUUUCUGUUUAUCAGAAAGACAAGCGUUAUGGAGAAUAGUUAAAGAUCAGUUCGAUCAAGUAUUGAUCGAGGUCUAUGUGCAAGGAUUAUAUGCGUUAUGUACUCUUCUGUGUAUGAGUUUUAAAGCGGUGAUUCCGGGGACGGAAUCCUUAUAAGGGAGGGUGAAUGU